UUUUAUUAGAAAUAAUUAAUAAUACAAUCUGCUCAAUGUAAAUAUAAAUUGCCGCAAUUUAUUAUUGUGCUAAGGUAGCAUAAUCAUUCGCUUUUUAAUUGAAAACUAGAACAAAAGAUUUCACAAUUAAAUAAUUUUCUUUAAUUUAUAAAUUUAAAUUUCCUAAAUGUAAAAAAACAUUUAUAUAAAAGAAAGACGACAAGACCCUAUCAAACUUAACUCAAGUUAAACUGGGGCAGUUAAUUAAUUAAUACUUUAAAACAACAAUAUAUAAAAAAGACCUAAUAAAAUUAACAUAUUAAUCAAUGUUACUGUAGGGAUAACAGCAUAAUAUUUAUUUAAAGUCCUUAUAAAAAUAAAUGAUUAUGACCUCGAUGUUGAAUAAUUCCCUAUACUUAAGCAAAAUUAUAUUAAGGAAGUCUGUUCGACUUUUAAUCAAUUACA
RNAcentral lists this ribosomal RNA (444 nucleotides) under Liocranidae sp. Dominican Republic MR160. RNAcentral describes it as "partial 16S ribosomal RNA". Lineage: Eukaryota; Metazoa; Arthropoda; Arachnida; Araneae; Liocranidae. The record is from RNAcentral.